Molecule: ribosomal RNA, 332 nt
Filed under: uncultured bacterium
Lineage: Bacteria
Description: bacterial SSU rRNA
Rfam family: Bacterial small subunit ribosomal RNA
Source: RNAcentral
CCGCAUGGUUUAGUUUAAAGAUGGUCUUGCUAUCACUAAGAGAUGGUCCCGCGGUGUAUUAGUUAGUUGGUGAGGUAAUGGCUCACCAAGACAAUGAUACAUAGCCGAGUUGAGAGACUGACCGGCCACAAUGGGACUGAGACACGGCCCAUACUCCUACGGGAGGCAGCAGUAGGGAAUCUUCCACAAUGGACGAAAGUCUGAUGGAGCAACGCCGCGUGUGUGAUGAAGGGUUUCGGCUCGUAAAACACUGUUGUAAGAGAAGAAUGACAUUGAGAGUAACUGUUCAAUGUGUGACGGUAUCUUACCAGAAAGGAACGGCUAAAUACGUG